UUUCGCCAAUGGUUGUGUCGCCGCGUGCGAGGCGCCUUGCGCAGAGGUCAACAUAAUUGUCACGAGCCAGUGUGAUCUAAUUCAUUUAGGGUCCACUAGGGUAAUGACUCGUUUAACUUUUGAGAAAAAUUAAAGUGUUCAAAGCAGGCAUUUUGCCUUGAAUAAUUGUUAGCAUGGAAUAAUAAGCAUAAGAACUUCGGUUCUAUUUGUUGGUUGUUCGAGAACUGGAGUAAUGAUUGAUAGGGACGGUUGGGGGCAUCCGUAUUCUCAAGCGAGAGGUGAAAUUCUUGGACCUUGGGAAGAACGAACAGCUGCGAAAGCGUUUGCCUAGGACGUUCUCUUUAAUCAAGAACGAAAGUUGGGGGAUCGAAGACGAUCAGAUACCGUCGUAGUCUCAACUAUAAACUAUGCCAGCUAGGGAUCGGUGGGUCUUUGUCACGAGUCCAUCGGCACCUUACGAGAAAUCAAAGCAUUUGGGUUCCGGGGGGAGUAUGGUCGCAAGGCUGAAACUUAAAGGAAUUGACGGAAGGGCAUCACCAGGAGUGGAGCCUGUGGCUUAAUUUGACUCAACACGGGAAAACUUACCAGGUCCGGACAUAGUAAGGAUUGACAGAUUGAAAGCUCUUUCUUGAUUCUAUGGGUGGUGGUGCAUGGCCGUUCUUAGUUGGUGGAGUGAUUUGUCUGGUUAAUUCCGUUAACGAACGAGACCCGCGCCUGCUAAAUAGUCGGCCUCACUUCUGUGGGUGUUGUACUUCUUAGAGGGACCAUCCUGGGUAUACCGGAAGGAAGUUGCGGGCAAUAACAGGUCUGUGAUGCCCUUAGAUGUUCUGGGCUGCACACGGGCUACACUGCAAGAUACAACAAGCGUCGAUCACGCCUGACUGGAAGGUCCGGCCAAUCUUUGAAUAUCUUGCGUGAUUGGGAUAGACCAUUGCAAUUAUUGGUCUUCAACGAGGAAUUCCUAGUAAACGCGUGUCAACAACACGCAUUGAUUACGUCCCUGCCCCUUGUACACACCGCCC
This 1022-nucleotide ribosomal RNA is filed under the name uncultured stramenopile. RNAcentral's name for it is "bacterial SSU rRNA". It matches the Rfam family "Eukaryotic small subunit ribosomal RNA", at positions 640 to 1674 of the family's 1831-position model. The record is from RNAcentral.